RNAcentral lists this transfer RNA (85 nucleotides) under Felis catus (domestic cat). It matches the Rfam family "tRNA". Rfam says of the family: Transfer RNA (tRNA) molecules are approximately 80 nucleotides in length. Their secondary structure includes four short double-helical elements and three loops (D, anti-codon, and T loops). The record is from Rfam by way of RNAcentral. RNAcentral also lists the same sequence under 1 other name. Lineage: Eukaryota; Metazoa; Chordata; Mammalia; Carnivora; Felidae.
ACCUGAGUGGCUCAGUCAGUUGAGCAGCUGAUUUCGGCUCAGGUCAUGAUCUUGCAGUUCAUGGGUUCAAGCCCCAUGUUGGGUU